RNAcentral lists this ribosomal RNA (1175 nucleotides) under uncultured soil eukaryote. RNAcentral's name for it is "SSU rRNA". It matches the Rfam family "Eukaryotic small subunit ribosomal RNA", at positions 13 to 1166 of the family's 1831-position model. The record is from RNAcentral.
CCUGCCAGUAGCAUAUGCUCAUCUCGAAGAUUAAGCCAUGCAUGUCUAAGAGCAAUCUGUUCUCGCAAGAGAAAACCGUGGAUCUGCGAAUAGCUCCUUACAAGAGUCAUAAACAAGCUAACAAUGCUUCUACAAGGAUAGCGUUGUCAAAUGCAACGAUAAUACUUGCAAUAAGCGAUGGCGCAAAUCUCAGGAUUUGAUCGCCAUAAGUGUAGCCCUUUGGGUUACGCAGACUAACGUUACGUUAGCUUGAUAGAAGUGUUUCUUCCCUAUUAGCUGUGAUGGUAGGGUAAAGGCCUACCAUGGCUAUUAUGGGUCCGGGGAAUCAGUGUUCGAUUCCGGAGAGGCAGCCUUAGAAACAGCUACCAUGUCCAAGGAUAGCAGCAGGCGCGAAAAUUACUCAAUUCUAAUCAGAGAGAAGUAGUGAAAAGACAUAACGAUUUCCUACAUCUGUGGGAAAGUACUCUUUUGAGUUUGAAAUGGUCGCACUGUAAAUAGGUGCGAGAGUAUCAAGUGGAGGACAAGUCAGGUGCCAGCACCCGCGGUAAUUCCUGCUCCACAAGCAUAUACUAAUGUUGCUGUAGUUAAAACGUUCGUAGUCCAUGUAAGUGCCAAUCUGUGCGAAUCGGGUAGUCCAACUUUAGUCUUAAGGGGAAACUUUUAGGACUAGAGGACUGGAGGAAACUCCAGUCAGGGCUGCUCCUUGCCGGUUAAAUGCGUCUUCGGACGCAUCGGGGUUUGUACAGAGAGGUGCGAUCCACAACUGUGAGUAAAUCAGCGUGUUCAAAGCAGGCUUUGGGAGGAUUUAUCCUCCCUUGUGCUUGUAUGCUAAAGCAUGGAAUUGUAACAUACUGACGUCAAGUCACAAUCGUGGAAAAGGAAACAGACGGAGGGCACAAGUAUUCCGGUGACCAGGGGUGAAAUCCGUACUCCCGGAAGACUACCAGAUGCGAAAGCGGUUUUGCCCACGGCGUUUCCGUUGAUCAAGAACGAGAGUCAAGGGAUCGAAGAUGAUUAGAUACCGUCGUAGUCUUGACCGUAAACUAUACUGCCAAGAGUUUGGGGAUAUGACACCAUUAUUGAUCUCCUCAGAAUCUAAGGGAAACCGAAAGUUUUCGAGUUCUGGGGGAAGUAUGGUCGCAAGGCUGAAACUUAAAGGAAUUGACGGAAAGGCA